CAGGCUGGCCUCGAACUCACAGAGAUCCUCCUGCCCCUCCCUGCCAAGCACUGGGAUCAAAGGCGUGCGCUGCCACCGCCACCACCAUCACCCCACCUAAAAGCUUUCUUUUUUUCAAAAAUAGGUUGAGAUGUUUAAUUGUAGCUGUGAAGAACACAGAUCAAAACUAUCAAGAAAAAUUUUAUACAUCAAGUCAGGGUUGGUGUUUUCAUUUGGGGUUGUGAUUUGUAUUGUGAAGCAUUUGUUACAUACAAAAUACUUGAUAUCAUUAGUGUGGCAUUAUCAAUCACAUAUAGAACUUAUUGAGUGAUGUGUAUCUAGAAACCCACCAGACUUAAGACUGUCACAUGGCCACUCUGCAAGCUGUCCUUUGAAAAGUGACGUCCCCUUCUUUUCCUAUUAUUCUAAAUGUUAAAGACAAACCCCACCCCUACACAAUUAACAUGCUAACACUUGAGCAGGGUAUGGUAGCUAGGCCUUUAAUCUCAGCUCUUGGGAGACAGAGGCAGGUGGAUCUCUGUAGUUCAAGACCAGCCUGGUCUACAGAGUUCCCGAACAGCAAGGGCUAUGUAGAAAUACCCUGUCUAUAAAUGAGCAAAGAUGUGUUUAGUUACUACAUCAGAAUAUAUAAGGCUCCUUUAUUUGUUGUUUUUUUCUUUUAAGAGUGUGUGUACACACACACACACACACACACACACACACACACACACACACACACACGCACGCGCGCAGGCCAGAAGUGCCUGCAGAGGCUAGAAGAGGGCAUCAGAUCCCCUAGAGCUGGAGUUACAGAUGACUGUGACCUGUCUAACAUGAGUGCUCAGAAUCAAAUGCAUGUCCUCUGCAAGAGCAAUACACGCUCUUAACUACUGAGCCAUCUCUCUGACCCCCUUCUUACUCAGUUUUAUGUAUCAACUGAUAAAGCAUAUAAAGUACUUUGAGGCUUAACUUGCAGAAAAUCAACUAUGUUUGCAUAAAUAAAUGCAGGACCUAGCCUCUGGAGAUCAAGGUUCAUAGCCAUGUUCUGACCAAAGAGAAGUAGGAAAAAAUAUACACCAUGGAUGAGGAAGACAGGGAUAGACUCCACUGAACCUCAUCCUGCUCUCACCAAUUGCAGCUUCACACUGCACCCCCUUUUCCUCUCUAGGGGGACCCCUGUACUCCAGCUCUCCAAGAUGGUGCUCUGGGGACCAUACUUCUAUCUUCUCGGGACAAGUUUUGGAAUAGAUUUAAUUUUCUCCCUAUUGAUAUCGGUAUCUUGGAUUUUGGCUUUUGAGAACGAGCUGACCGAGUUGAGUCUGGUGAUGUAUGUGGCUUGAUGUAUGUAUGUUCAGCUGGUUGACUGAAGAACCAAGUCCUCGUACAGUAACUGCUUGCUCAUACUUUGUGUUCAGCUAGGAAAGCUUGGCUGGGGCUGGACAUGCAAGAUGGACUCAGCCUCUAAGGGCCUCAGGCCACUGAUCAUCAGUAGUCUGGUACCCUGAUAGUUCAUCAAUUGAGCUAUGAGGGAAAGGAAGCAGAAGCCACCAGUCCUUGAGGGCUGGGAUCAGGAUUUCCAGCCUAUUACUGGGUAGCAUUUUGUUGAUAAAGAUAAGUCAUAAGGCAUGCUUAGUUUCAAGGGGAGUGGAAGUGAGCCGCCUCUAGAGGCUGGGAAGCUAUCCAGGCCCAGAGCCAGAGAGGCAGGGAAUUAUGGCAGUCUAUAUUAGGAGACUCCCCUGUCAGCUCAGCCUCUGUCCUCCAUGACAUUUAAGAUGUAAACUAAUACAAAAGCACAUGUGCUGGCUACUUUUGUGUCAGUUUGGCUGAUGCUAAAGUUAUCUCAAAAGCGGGAACCUCAAUUAAGAAAAUACCUCCAUAAGAUUGGGCUAUAGGAAGGCCUGUGAAGCAUUUUCUUAAUUAGUGAUUGAUGGGGAAGGGCCCAGCCCAUUGUGUGUGGUGCUGUCCCUGGGCUGGUGGUCCUGGGUUCUACAGAAAGCAGGAUGAGCAAGCGAUGUGGAGCAAGCCAGUAAGCAGCACCCCUCCAUGGCCUCUACAUCAGCUCCUGUCUCCAGGUUUCUGCCCUGAGUAGGCAGUUUUCCUGUGCCAGCAGCCACUUCACAAAUAACCAGCAGCUGCUUUACAAAUAAGCACUCAGAGCCUUAAUAUUAAUUAUAAAUGAUUGGCCAAUAGCUCAGGCUUGUUACUAGCUAACUCUUACAAUUUAAAUUAACUCAUUUCUUACCUAUCCUCUGCCUCAUGGCUCAAGGCUUGUUACCUGCUUUCUCUGUGUCUGCUGGCGUCUCCUCCAACUCUACUAUUCUUCAUCCCAUCAUUCUCAGUUUGGCUUUCCCACCUAACUUUAUCCCGUUCAGCUAUUGACCAGUCAGCUUGUUUAUUAAACCAAUCAUAGCAACAUAUAUUCACACAGUGUGCAGAAUGAUUAUUCCACAGCAUUUCCCCCUUUUUAUCUAUUAAAAAGGUUUUAACUUUAACGUAGUAAAAUUAUAAACAACAAAAAGUUGUCAAGUAAGAAUUACAGUUACAAUAUCUAAUUCAUUUGUAAUUGGCAAAAUUAGUGAAAAUAUUUUGCUAUCUAUUUUAUCUUUGUGACUCUAACAUUUUAUACUUAAUUGUAACUAAGGAAAACUUUGACUAGCUAAUCUUCAACUCCAUCAAAGACCCCAGAAGGGUGAAAUGUUACCUAAUGAUAAAGACAUCAGACUGCCUGGUCAAUCAUCCAAAGUUCCUCUGCAGCAUUAGGGCAUCCAACUCUGAUCUACAGGCCCAGCAUAUCUGACAGACUUUUCUGAGAAGCAGGGAAUUCUGAAGGACUGUCCUACCUUGUCUUGGCAAAGUUUGGCAGUCAUUUUCCUCUGCAUCCUGCUGGUCUAGUUUGGACAGUAUAUUGUCAGCAACUGAGGCAAAGGCAUUUUCUUUGCACAGUGGCUAGCUUUUGCCAUAAAGAAAACAAACUCCAUGUGGAGUUUCUUUGAUGCCCAUCGCCUUCUCUGAAGUAGAUUGGUGCUGCCAGGAGCAGACAUGUCUCAUUGUCAUGAGCCCUGCUUGAGUUCCUGUUCUGACUUCCUUAGAUGAUCAACAGCGAUGUGAAAGUGAAAGCCAAAUAAGCCCUUUCCUCCUCAACUUUCUUUUGGUGUUUCAUCACAGCAGUAGAAACCCUAACUAAGACAACACCCUUAAUCCAGAGUCAAUCUUGAGCACACAUCAAUUUCCCAUAUAUUAACUACCUAAUCUUAGACAAAUUAACCAGUCUAUGUGAUUCCUGCCCCUCUUCUGGGUUUCUUCAUGAAUGAACCACCUAUGUAAUAAGAGCCCCUACUAGAGAUUUGCUGUAAUUUAAAUUAUGCAAGUAGCCACAAAAUACCUUAUGUUUUAUUCUCUGACUCACUUGUGCCCUCAAUGUUAUAUUUCUCAAAUUCAACCAUGCUGACACCUGUAGUCUUCAGUCCAUAUUUAUUGCUACACAGUUUGUUAUAUUCAGUCCAUUGUAGGAAUAUAAAACUUAACAAUUUAAUGAUGACCUUUUGGAUUCUUUCUGAGUUUUUACAACUAGAGUGCCUUCAUAAAAUUUUUUAAAGAUUUUUAUUAUUAAGAAUGUGUAUGUGAGCCACGUGGUGCACGCCUUUAGUCCCAGCACUCAGGAGGCAGAGGCAGGUGGAUCUCUGAGUUUGAGGCCAUCCUGGUCUACAGAGUGAGUUCCAGGACAGCCAGGGCUGUUACACAGAGAAACCCUGUCUCGAAAAACCAAAAAAGGAAAAAAAAAAAAAAAAGUAUGUGUGUGCAUUUAUACGUGUAAGUGCAAGUGCCUGAGAGUCCAGAAGAAGGUAUCAGAUUCCCUCGAGCUAGAGUUACAGGUGGUUGGGAGCUGCCCGACAUGGGCCCUAGGAGAACAGUAGUGUUGCAAGCAAUGAGCCACCUUGCCUGUUUCCUGGGGAGCAGGGGCCUCUGGUGUGUGUGGGAUGGGCUUCUCCUUUACGUAGAGUAAGCAAUGGAGUCCGUGGCUCCCACAGGGAGCAAAUAUUCAUCUCACAUGAAUUUGGCCCUGUGCACUCUCAGCUGCCCCCCUGAGACAUGCUUCUCAGCCCACAUCCUUGCCAAUACUUAAUACUGAGAAUCCUUGAGACAUCUUGCCAAUGGCUUGGGAGCAAAAAGGUUUUUCAUUAUGAAUUUAAUUUCAUCUCUCUGGUGACUAGGAAACUGGAGAAAGUUUGGUGUAACUAUUGGAUCUCAGAUUUCCCCUUCCAUCUGACCAUUUUCUUCUUCAGCCUGUUCUGUGGGCUCUUCUACGUUCUCAUUAGUCUGUGGGCAUUCUUAAUAUAGUUUGUGUCAUUUUUACAUUCAGCCACCAAUGGGUGGCUAAUCUCAUACCCCAGUUUGUGGUUUGUCUCUCCUUCCUUGCAGUCUGUCUCAUCUAUGAAUAGAAAUGAUUCACCUCACUGUAGUCAGAUUUAUCCAUAUUCUACUUAAACUUGUUACAUCUUAUUUCGGGUGUCCUAUCCAAAGGUUAGACAAACGAUAUCCUAAAGGGUUCUUCUGGUCCUUUGACUUUUGUAUUGUAUGGACUUUUUUUUUUUCUGUAUGCCUGUGCACGUUUGUGUACUUUGCACAUACAUAUGGAAGUCAGAGGUCAAUGUCAAGUGUCGUCCUCAAUCAUUUUCCAUGUUGUGGUGAUGAUGAUGAUGAUGAUGAUGAUGAUGAUGAUGAUGAUGAUGAUGGUGAUGGUGAUGGUGAUAUAGGACUGGUCUCCAGUCUUCAAUGUGGCUGAGAAUGACCUUGGAUUGUGGAUGCUCCCGCCUUCAUCUGUCAAGCAUUAGAACUACAGACAUGGGCACCAUGCCUGGUUUGCAUGAUCCUGGAGAUUGAAUCCAGGGCUCUGUGCAGACUAGAUGAGCACCCUGCCAAGUGAGCUACAUCCUCAGCAUUCCACACACUUUUGAAACAGGAUCCCUCAUUAACCCUGAAGCUCACCAAUUCAGAUAGAGUAGCUGGCCAGUAAACACCAGAGAUAUUCCUGCCUCUGUCUCCCUAGUACUAGAAUUACAGGCAAGUACCACGGUGCCCAGCUUCUUUUGUGGAUGCUGGGAAUGAACUCAGGUCCUUAUGUUCAUUUAACAAUCCUUUUACUGACUGUGCCAUCUCCACAGCCCCACUAUAUGUAUAUAUAUACCCUGGAUGGGCUGGAGAGAUGCCUCAGCUGUUAGAAGCACUUGCUGCUUUUGUAGAGGACCUGAAUUCAGAUCCCAGCACCCACAUCAAGUGGCUCACAACUGCCUAUAUCUGCAGCCCCAGGGGGAUUGUAAGCCCGAUUCUGUCCUCUGCAGGCAUACACAUACACAGAAACCUACAUGUAAAUAAGAGUAAAUCUUUUGCCGGGCGGUGGUGGCGCAUGCCUUUAAUCCCAGCACUCGGGAGGCAGAGGCAGGUGGAUCUCUGUGAGUUUGAGGCCAGCCUGGUCUCCAAAGAGAGUUCCAGGAAAGGCGCAAAGCUACACAGAGAAACCCUGUCUCGAAAAACAAAAAACAAAAAACAAAAAAACAAACAAAAAAAAAGAGUAAAUCUUUUAAAAGUUAAACAUAUUCCCUGUGAUUUAUUUCUUUGGUGUGGUACAUAGGGUUAAGCAUGUAUUCUGGGUUUUUCUUUGUUUCUUGCCUUUCUGCAGAGCUACAGUAGAUGUCUUCAUGGAUCAGUGCAAUGUCUUAUGCAUUUCCAUAUGCAUAAGAUCCAUCUCAGGGCUCUCUACUCUGGGCCUAUCAUUUGAGCUCUGAGCCAUACUAAAAACAAGUCUGGCUGUCUGCUGGGGUGAGCUUCCUGUGUUGAUUUCUCUAGCACCACAGUACCUUUUUGUGGUCCUUUCUCCAUAUACAUUUAAAAGCAAAAAUCCAGUUUCAUGAACUCUCCAUUUCCCUAAUGGGCUUGUAGAAAAUCUACAGCUCUACUGGGGGAGAGUUGAAAUUAUGAUUUCAUUAUCAACAAGAUAUUUUAUUUUUUUUUUAAAUUUUGGCUUUUUAUAUUUUCCCGGAGUGAAAUUCUGGCAAAACUUUCAUGAAUUAGCUUGAUUCCUAAGUUCCUUAUAUUUAUUAUUAAUAUAUAUAUAGAUUAUUGUUCCAGUUUAUGAAAACAUAAUCUGCAUUAUAAUAUUUAAUAUAUUAUAAUUAUAAUAAUUGAGCCAGCAAACUUAUGCAUUUCUUUUUCUUUUUCUUUUUUUUUGGUUUUUUGGAGGCAGAAUUUCUUUGUGUAGUUCUGCCUGACCUGUAUACCAGGCUAUCCUCAAACUUGGAGAUCCACCUGCCUCUCUACCUUGCUUCCUGAGUGCUGAGAUUAAAGGCAUGUGCCACCACCAUCUGGCUGUGUUUUCUUAUCCUAAGAAAUAUGUGUCAUUUUAUUGAUUAUGAAUAUUUUUUCCUUUCAAAUAAUUCAAUUUUUCAUUUCUCUUUUGCCUAAUUUAUUUUGUUUUACUUUGGAGUUGUAGAUCAAACUCCUGUGCUUUUAGCUGAGCACCCUCACACUGAGCCACACCCUCAGCUUCCAGAUUUCUUUCUAGGCCCACCACAUCAACAAGAAGUUCAGGUACCAUGGUAACAGCCACAAGAACAAGGCUCUUGACUUUAAAAAGGAAUUCAUCUUGAAUAUAGUUUUUCAGAUGUUAGGAGAGUGUUCUUUUUUCAAAGUGUUUUUUGCUUUUUAAAUCAGAGAUUAGCAAUAAGUCAUUUUAUCAAAUGUUUGUUUUUUUUUUUCCUGUAUCCACUCAUUGACUUACUUACUCUAUUGACUGUCAUGUAAAUCAUGGAUUCGGCCAUUUCUGGAUGCUUCUGUACGGUCACAGUUCAUUUCCAGUGCUUCCUUUAGCACCUGUAGAUAUACAUUGAUUCACACCACUGGCAUAUCAUUUUCUCUUCUCCUAGAGUCCUUGUUGGGGUUUCAUGAUUUUUUUUCCCAAAAAACCUCAAUAACAGCCUGUCUCCUCACAUUUGUAUAAACCCUCCUUGACCGGCACUGGCCCUGAAGUGGUUUGACAGUGUAAAAUUCUAAAACGUGAUGCCUUUGUUUGACCCAGAAAUUUCACAGCUGGGAAAUUUCUUUGUAUCCUGUAUCCUGCAAGCAUAUGAAAAUAUACAUACAAGAAUACUUAUUGUGUUGCCUGGCGUUGG
Molecule: non-coding RNA, 7145 nt
Organism: Peromyscus maniculatus bairdii (prairie deer mouse)
Lineage: Eukaryota; Metazoa; Chordata; Mammalia; Rodentia; Cricetidae
Source: RefSeq, a predicted model, not a curated record